Molecule: ribosomal RNA, 464 nt
Filed under: Vreelandella stevensii
Lineage: Bacteria; Pseudomonadati; Pseudomonadota; Gammaproteobacteria; Oceanospirillales; Halomonadaceae
Description: partial 16S ribosomal RNA
Rfam family: Bacterial small subunit ribosomal RNA
Source: RNAcentral
CCUACGGGCGGCAGCAGUGGGGAAUAUUGGACAAUGGGCGAAAGCCUGAUCCAGCCAUGCCGCGUGUGUGAAGAAGGCCUUCGGGUUGUAAAGCACUUUCAGUGGGGAAGAAAGCCUUGGGGCUAAUACCCUCGAGGAAGGACAUCACCCACAGAAGAAGCACCGGCUAACUCCGUGCCAGCAGCCGCGGUAAUACGGAGGGUGCGAGUGUUAAUCGGAAUUACUGGGCGUAAAGCGCGCGUAGGCGGUCUGAUAAGCCGGUUGUGAAAGCCCCGGGCGCAACCUGGGAACGGCAUCCGGAACUGUCAGGCUAGAGUGCAGGAGAGGAAGGUAGAAUUCCCGGUGUAGCGGUGAAAUGCGUAGAGAUCGGGAGGAAUACCAGUGGCGAAGGCGGCCUUCUGGACUGACACUGACGCUGAGGUGCGAAAGCGUGGGUAGCAAACAGGAUUAGAUACCCAGUAGUC